CGAUGUGGGAAGGCCCAGACAGCCAGGAUGUUGGCUUAGAAGCAGCCAUCAUUUAAAGAAAGCGUAAUAGCUCACUGGUCGAGUCGGCCUGCGCGGAAGAUGUAACGGGGCUAAACCAUGCACCGAAGCUGCGGCAGCGAACGUAUCACCCAAGACAACUUUACGGAGUUGACGAUUGACGGAGCGAAGCGACGUCAAAGCGUUCAUUAAAGUCGAGUUGGCUUAGGGAUACGUUCGUUGGGUAGGGGAGCGUUCUGUAAGCCUGUGAAGGUGUGUCGUGAGGCAUGCUGGAGGUAUCAGAAGUGCGAAUGCUGACAUAAGUAACGAUAAAGCGGGUGAAAAGCCCGCUCGCCGGAAGACCAAGGGUUCCUGUCCAACGUUAAUCGGGGCAGGGUGAGUCGACCCCUAAGGCGAGGCCGAAAGGCGUAGUCGAUGGGAAACGGGUUAAUAUUCCCGUACUUGGUGUUACUGCGAAGGGGGGACGGAGAAGGCUAUGUUGGCCGGGCGACGGUUGUCCCGGUUUAAGCGUGUAGGUGUGUGUUCCAGGUAAAUCCGGUUCACUUUAACACUGAGGCGUGACGACGAGGCACUACGGUGCUGAAGCAACAAAUGCCCUGCUUCCAGGAAAAGCCUCUAAGCAUCAGGUAACACGAAAUCGUACCCCAAACCGACACAGGUGGUCAGGUAGAGAAUACCAAGGCGCUUGAGAGAACUCGGGUGAAGGAACUAGGCAAAAUGGUGCCGUAACUUCGGGAGAAGGCACGCUGACACGUAGGUGAAGUGAUUUACUCA
Molecule: ribosomal RNA, 792 nt
Filed under: Salmonella enterica
Lineage: Bacteria; Pseudomonadati; Pseudomonadota; Gammaproteobacteria; Enterobacterales; Enterobacteriaceae
Description: partial 23S ribosomal RNA
Rfam family: Bacterial large subunit ribosomal RNA
Source: RNAcentral